AUUGAACGCUGGCGGCAGGCCUAACACAUGCAAGUCGAACGAGUGGCGGACGGGUGAGUAAUGUCUGGGAAUCUGCCUGAUAGAGGGGGAUAACUACUGGAAACGGUGUCUAAUACCGCAUACUAUCAGAUGUGCCCAGAUGGUAUUAGCUUGUUGGUGGGGUAACGGCUCACCAAGGCGACGAUCCCUAGCUGGUCUGAGAGGAUGACCAGCCACACUGGAACUGAGACACGGUCCAGACUCCUACGGGAGGCAGCAGUGGGGAAUAUUGCACAAUGGGAGCAAGCCUGAUGCAGCCAUGCGGCGUGUAUGAAGAAGGCCUUAGGGUUGUAAAGUACUUUCAGCGGGGAGGCGUUACCCGCAGAAGAAGCACCGGCUAACUCCGUGCCAGCAGCCGCGGUAAUAC
RNAcentral lists this ribosomal RNA (406 nucleotides) under uncultured bacterium. RNAcentral describes it as "partial 16S ribosomal RNA". It matches the Rfam family "Bacterial small subunit ribosomal RNA", at positions 30 to 526 of the family's 1533-position model. The record is from RNAcentral.